This 753-nucleotide ribosomal RNA is filed under the name uncultured archaeon. RNAcentral describes it as "bacterial SSU rRNA". It matches the Rfam family "Archaeal small subunit ribosomal RNA", at positions 39 to 808 of the family's 1478-position model. The record is from RNAcentral.
UGAUGUCUAGCAUGCGAGUCAUUGUAGCAUACAAGGCAUACGGCUCAGUAACGCGUAGUCAACCUAACCUAUGGACGGGAAUAACCUCGGGAAACUGAGAAUAAUGCCCGAUAGAACAUUAUGCCUGGAAUGGUUUAUGUUCCAAAUGAUUUAUCGCCAUAGGAUGGGACUGCGGCCUAUCAGUUUGUUGGUGAGGUAAUGGCCCACCAAGACUAUUACAGGUACGGGCUCUGAGAGGAGUAGCCCGGAGAUGGGUACUGAGACACGGACCCAGGCCCUAUGGGGCGCAGCAGGCGAGAAAACUUUGCAAUGUGCGAAAGCACGACAAGGUUAAUCCGAGUGAUUUCUGCUAAAGAGAUCUUUUGUUAGUCCUAGAAACACUAACGAAUAAGGGGUGGGCAAGUUCUGGUGUCAGCCGCCGCGGUAAAACCAGCACCUCAAGUGGUCAGGAUGAUUAUUGGGCCUAAAGCAUCCGUAGCCGGCUCUGUAAGUUUUCGGUUAAAUCUGUACGCUCAACGUACAGGCUGCCGGGAAUACUGCAGAACUAGGGAGUGGGAGAGGUAGACGGUACUCGGUAGGAAGUGGUAAAAUGCUUUGAUCUAUCGAUGACCACCUGUGGCGAAAGCGGUCUACCAGACACGUCCGACGGUGAGGGAUGAAGCUGGGGGAGCAACCGGAUUAGAUACCCCGGGUAGUCCAGCUGUAACUAUGCAACUCAGUGAUGCAUCACCUGUGCGAUGCAGUGCUGCCAGG